This 871-nucleotide long non-coding RNA is filed under the name Nicotiana tabacum (common tobacco). RNAcentral describes it as "long non-coding RNA (NTAB_LNC017960)". Lineage: Eukaryota; Viridiplantae; Streptophyta; Magnoliopsida; Solanales; Solanaceae. The record is from RNAcentral.
CUAAACAUAUACCCCAAGGGUUUGAAGUGAUUCUAAAGUGAUUACACCAUAGUUCAACAUCAAAACUUAGUUCUAGCGAAGAACAACACCUCUUUGAGGUUGUGUUGUCAUUGAGGAUUGUUGUGGGAUAUAUUUGGAUGAAAUUACAAGUUGUUGCUGCUGUCUAAGGUGAGUAUAACAGCCUACUAAUUGUGCUUGCUUGUAUGUUGGUUAAGUUGUUAGGAUGAUAAACUACAAGAUAAUACUUCAAUUAGCUUAAGUCACUUCUAUGGUGUUGUAUUGCUAUUGAGGGUUGUUGUAAAUUGAAUAUAACUGGGAUUUUGACUUGAAGUUACUGUAGGAGGUAUGUAUAUUGUGUUCUUUCUUGUGCCUAAGGUUAUCUUGAUGUUGAUUAAGUUAAAUGGAUGAGCUAGACAUAAACUAGUGAAUAAAGUUGCUAAUUGAGGAUAGUUGAAGUUGUGGAUUAUUUUCGUUGUUAUAAAUAUAUGGUAUAAGGCUGGGAUCAUUGAUUAAUGACUUCAUUAUCAUGUUAAUGAUACCUUUAUGUUAAAGUAAGAAGUCUAUAAGGAUUGAUAAGGGGUAUACAGAUUCCAAUCGGAGCUUGCCGCUCGUCGUAAUGUAGUUGUGACUUGUUGUUGUUAUAUGGUGUCUUGAUAUUGAUAAUUAUGUAUUGAUGGAUUGCUCUGGUCAUUGUUGUUGGUAUAUGGUAUUGGAGAAGGCCCUUGUUACAAGGGAGAUGCUGCCCAAUUUACAUAAACGAGCUACUAGCUUAAGUUAUAGACUAGCCUUUGCUCAACACUGAUUUUGAAUCUCCUUAUACUAUGAUAGAUUGAGUUAACUUGUUCGAAGAGUUGCUUGGAAGAGAUGAAGG